CCUACGGGUGGCUGCAGUGGGGAAUAUUGGGCAAUGGGCACAAGCCUGACCCAGCAACGCCGCGUGAAGGAAGAAGGCUUUCGGGUUGUAAACUUCUUUUCUGAGGGACGAAGAAAGUGAAGGUACCUCGAGAAUAAGCCACGGCUAACUACGUGCCAGCAGCCGCGGUAAUACGUAGGUGGCAAGCGUUAUCCGGAUUUAUUGGGUGUAAAGGGCGUGUAGGCGGGAAAGAAAGUCAGAUGUUAAAACCCAGGGCUCAACCCUGAGCCUGCAUUUGAAACUGUUUUUCUUGAGUGCUGGAGAGGCAAUCGGAAUUCCGGGUGUAGCGGUGAAAUGCGUAGAUAUACGGAGGAACACAAGUGGCGAAGGCGGAUUGCUGGACAGUAACUGACGCUGAGGCGCGAAAGCGUGGGGAGCAAACAGGAUUAGAUACCCCAGUAGU
This 442-nucleotide ribosomal RNA is filed under the name uncultured bacterium. RNAcentral describes it as "partial 16S ribosomal RNA". It matches the Rfam family "Bacterial small subunit ribosomal RNA", at positions 338 to 794 of the family's 1533-position model. The record is from RNAcentral.